This 230-nucleotide ribosomal RNA is filed under the name uncultured bacterium. Its description in RNAcentral is "partial 16S ribosomal RNA". It matches the Rfam family "Bacterial small subunit ribosomal RNA", at positions 118 to 347 of the family's 1533-position model. The record is from RNAcentral.
UGAGCAAUCUGCCCUUCUCAUCGGAAUAAAGCGUUGGAAACGACGUCUAAUGCCGAAUACGACCUCCUUUCGCAUGAUCGGAGGUGGAGAGCUCCGGCGGAGAAGGAUGAGCUCGCGGCCUAUCAGCUAGUUGGUGUGGUAUGGCCCACCAAGGCGACGACGGGCAGCCGGCCGAGAGGGUAACCGGCCACACUGGGACUGAGACACGGCCCAGACUCCGUACGGGAGCA